AAGUCGGGAAAGUUUUUCGCUAAGGGAUCAGUCUAUGUUCCAUCAGCUUGUUGGUGAGGUAAUGGCUCACCAAGGCUAUGACGGAUAUCUGGUUUGAGAGGAUGAUCAGACACACUGGAACUGAGACACGGUCCAGACUCCUACGGGAGGCAGCAGUGAGGAAUAUUGCACAAUGGAGGAAACUCUGAUGCAGCAACGCCGCGUGGAGGAUGACGCAUUUCGGUGUGUAAACUCCUUUUAUUAGGGAAGAUAAUGACGGUACCUAAUGAAUAAGCACCGGCUAACUCCGUGCCAGCAGCCGCGGUAAUACGGAGGGUGCAAGCGUUACUCGGAAUCACUGGGCGUAAAGGGUGCGUAGGCUGGCUUUUAAGUCAGAUGUGAAAUCCAAUGGCUCAACCGUUGAACUGCUCUCGAAACUGGUUACCUAGAAUAUGGGAGAGGUAGAUGGAAUUAGUGGUGUAGGGGUAAAAUCCGUAGAUAUCACUAGGAAUACCGAUUGCGAAGGCGAU
This 509-nucleotide ribosomal RNA is filed under the name uncultured bacterium. RNAcentral describes it as "bacterial SSU rRNA". It matches the Rfam family "Bacterial small subunit ribosomal RNA", at positions 199 to 725 of the family's 1533-position model. The record is from RNAcentral.